CUGAUACAAGAAUAGUGUGUGGUCACGGGAGGAUCUCUAUUCAGGACACAAGAUAUUCCUUUGUUGCUUAUGUAUUUAAGCUAUUAUGUUUCUCUAACAGAGACAUGGCGCUGAAGGUCCAGGAUAGAGAAGAUAAUUGAUGGAGGAAAUCAUAAAAGAAGGCACUUGACUCAGUGCAUCAAUGGGAAGGGAAAGACCACUCUGCUCUCUAAGACUAAAAGGAAGGAGAUGAAUUGUGGGCAUAAAGAGCCGUAGUCCCAUUUUUAAGGGAAGGUGAACACAGAUGCUUUAUAGGAAUGAUCCUGUCGGCUGGCAGCUCGGCGUGUGUUAAAUUCAAGCAAGCUACCCUGAGAUGCAGAAAAAUAAGGCCAUUCUUCUCUCAGUCGACUUGUCACUCCUAUGAAAUGCCAGGCCUGCUCAGAGAUUGACUGACACAGUACGGUUGGCAUCUCACUGGAAGGCCCAUGUCGGAAAACAUGAGGAAGAGAUGAAACCUGACAACUUAAAAAAGCUGAUGUCAUUACUCCAAUAUAAGGUAUUAUUUCCCUCACUGACUUUUUUUCCAGUGAUUUCAUCAGGAUAGAUCUUUAAUGGAACUGUAAAUUUUUCCAAGUAUUAUUUUCUGCUCUUCCUACUAUCUGUCUCACACCUCAAACAUACUUUGGUAGUGAAUGUUUAUGUUAUUACAGUAAGAGUUUCUGGAGUUUUUUAAAUGUAUAUCAUUUAAGGAUUUGAGUCUGAAUUAAAUGAAUAAUCAUCCCAUACUUCUCUUCUGUAGUCUUUUUCCAUAUAUUCUGUUGUUUGAUAUUCGAGGAACCCUUUAAGGCAGGACCUCCUGCUCCUUUCAUGCCACACAAUCUCCCUGAGAGCUAUUAUUAACAAUUGAAAUUUCAGCAGAGGAAGGCUCGCCUCCCCUUGUAGGCUGCAUGCUGAGCACUUCUUAAUCAGUCUUCUGCCCAGAGUUGUGCACUCCUCUAUCCAGUUUUCUGCCGGCAUCUCCACCUGGAUAUCCUGUAGGUACCCCAAACUCAACAUGUCUAAACACUCCUUGCCUUCUCCAUCACACACGCUUUGCUGCCACCAUUCUCGGGUCUACCUCCAUGAGUCCUCUACUUCAUAUUCUUGAGUCAUCUCUGUUUUUGCAGAUUUGACCUCCCAGAUAUUUCUUGGCUCUUCCCCAACCUCUUUCUCCCAGCCCACCACCAAGAGGCUCCUACUGGCCUCCUCUAAAUCCAUCCUUCGCAGAGCCAUGCAAGUGAAUUAUUUCAAAUCUGCCUACGAUUACAGCAUUUUC
This 1294-nucleotide long non-coding RNA is filed under the name Vulpes vulpes (red fox). RNAcentral describes it as "lncRNA (ENSVVUG00000002663.1)". Lineage: Eukaryota; Metazoa; Chordata; Mammalia; Carnivora; Canidae. The record is from RNAcentral.